Molecule: ribosomal RNA, 549 nt
Filed under: Triticum aestivum (bread wheat)
Lineage: Eukaryota; Viridiplantae; Streptophyta; Magnoliopsida; Poales; Poaceae
Description: partial small subunit ribosomal RNA
Source: RNAcentral
AUGGCCGAAUGCUUCAAUAGGGUGCUCAAAGGUGCACGUGGAUUACCCGUGACGGCAAUAGUUCAAUACACAUUUGACAAGAUGAAUGCGUACUUUGUAAAGUACUCGAUGGAAACCGAUGCACAGAUAGCGAACCCACGGAAGUACAAGUACAAGUUCCCACCCAAAAUUGAUGAAUGGUUGGUAUUUCAAUCAUAGAAGGCGGACUCGGAAGAAGCUAUAUUAUAUGACAACGAAGAGUGGAAGUAUGAAGUGAAAGAGCCAGGAGGAACCACAAACGAUGGCCGGCAACAUGGAGGUCGGGCUUUCAAGGUGUCGUUAACACAAUGUGAUUGCACUUGCGGGAGGCCAUUGUUGCUUCAUCUCCCAUGCUCACACUUGUAUACCGCCGGUCGCGUUAGGAAUGUGGACAUCAAUCACCCACGCACCGUGAGGGAGUCGGAGUUCUCAAUCAUGAUGCUCAAGAAAACAUGGGCUCCCCGCUUUCACCCAUACUUUGACCAAUCACAAUGGCCGGAGUAUCAUGGAGUUCAACUAUGGCCGGAUCCG